AAGGCUUUGGCUUAAUUAAAGUGUUUGAGUUGCAUUCAGAAGAUGUGGGAUAAACCCCCGCAAGUCUUA
This 69-nucleotide transfer RNA is filed under the name Dussumieria elopsoides (slender rainbow sardine). RNAcentral describes it as "tRNA-Ala". It matches the Rfam family "tRNA". From Rfam's summary of the family: Transfer RNA (tRNA) molecules are approximately 80 nucleotides in length. Their secondary structure includes four short double-helical elements and three loops (D, anti-codon, and T loops). Further hydrogen bonds mediate the characteristic L-shaped molecular structure. tRNAs have two regions of fundamental functional importance: the anti-codon, which is responsible for specific mRNA codon recognition, and the 3' end, to which the tRNAs corresponding amino acid is attached (by aminoacyl-tRNA synthetases). tRNAs cope with the degeneracy of the genetic code in two manners: having more than one tRNA (with a specific anti-codon) for a particular amino acid; and 'wobble' base-pairing, i.e. permitting non-standard base-pairing at the 3rd anti-codon position. The record is from RNAcentral. Lineage: Eukaryota; Metazoa; Chordata; Actinopteri; Clupeiformes; Dussumieriidae.